GUUUUGGAAUGUGUUUUUGUACUUACAUCUCAAUUACCGAUGGGGUAGAGGUGUUAGUGGAGAGAACCUGGUCUGAGAGCCGGGAUCUAGGGUUCUACGGGGCAGAGGUGUUAGUGGAGAGAGCCUGGUCUGAGAGCCGGGAUCUAGGGCUCUACGGGGUAGAGGUGUUAGUGGAGAGAGCCUGGUCUGAGAGCUGGGAUCUAGGGUUCUACGGGGC
Chlorocebus sabaeus (green monkey) is the source of this 217-nucleotide non-coding RNA. Lineage: Eukaryota; Metazoa; Chordata; Mammalia; Primates; Cercopithecidae. The record is from RefSeq and is a predicted model, not a curated record.